GAUGUUCGCGGUCGGUGAUUAUUGGCACUUGGCGGACAAAAAUGGAGGCGGAGUGCACGAAACUGGCCAAACUGUUGGUGGAACUCGAGCCCCUCAAAACGGUGUAGCAUUGGAAGCACACAUGGCGCGACCUAAAGAAGAAGGCCCGGGACGAGGCGCGUCCCCAGCCCGUGUUGCCAUAGUCAGAACUGGGAACACUACUAGGGACCAGGAGCCGGUCGCAGCCAGGCACUGCAACCAUCGUCAACGGCAGGCACAUACUUUGGAUUUGGACGCUGCCUCAAUGUAUAUUGAGGGACAAAAGUAGCAGAUGCUACUCCUGAAGGAGCUGGUUGCAGCAUAAAAAUGCAGAAUGUACGCAGACAAUUAAAAAGAAAUCAGCCUACACCAUCGAAAAAUAUAUUUGUAGUGGUUUGAUAAUAUUGAUGGAAUCUUGAUAGUUGCGAGAGUUUCAAGGUACAAAGGCUAAUCAAAUUUUGCAACCACUUGAAACAGAAUUUUUUAAGGCUAACUGUAAAACACCCUAAAUAAAUCAAAUGUAUUAAUUUUAAAAUGUAUGGUUCAAAAUCAUCGUCAAUCAUGAUAUUCUACCUGUCUUAAUAGGACACCAAAUUAAAAUUCGUAUGAUUUUACUUUCCAUUCUUGUGAAUAAUAACUAUCCAACUAAUUUUGAAACAUAAAUAAAUGUUAUAAUUAUAAAUUAAUUGAUUUGAUUUAGUUUGAUAUUUUACAGUUAGAUUUUUUUUUUGAGUACCUAGGUGUGGUGAACAAUUGUGUUUCACACAAAAAAUGCUUCACCUUCGUUGCUUGAAACUCUUCGCUCUAGAUUCCAUUUUUCUAAUAUAACUUACCACAACAAUGAUUGUAGAAUAAAGUUCACUUGAAUUUAUGGUGCUUUUCCCAUAGAACUUUGACUGAACAUAGCCAUAUACCUAAAAUUUAUUUUGUUUUUGUUCACCAUUAUAGUACUUGAUAAAGUUUAUGGGCAAACAUUGUUUUAAAUUUAGAGUUUAUUAAGUAUAAAUUGAUUAUAAACAAAUAACUAGUAAUUAUUAGGUUUGCUUG
Long non-coding RNA from Leguminivora glycinivorella, 1065 nucleotides. RefSeq lists it as uncharacterized. The transcript has 3 exons. The record is from RefSeq and is a predicted model, not a curated record. Lineage: Eukaryota; Metazoa; Arthropoda; Insecta; Lepidoptera; Tortricidae.